Molecule: long non-coding RNA, 9210 nt
Organism: Marmota monax (woodchuck)
Lineage: Eukaryota; Metazoa; Chordata; Mammalia; Rodentia; Sciuridae
Exons: 4
Source: RefSeq, a predicted model, not a curated record
GGAAGGGUAUGAAGAGGUGAGGCUGUGGAGGGCAGAGGGGAUCCUGCAGGGACGAGUGCUGUGUCAUAUUAGUGGUUGUGACGUUGUGCUGCGGAUGUUGUAUAAGAGGUCACCAUGGGUUGGUGGGGCAGUCAGGGCUGGAAGUGUCCUGGGGUGGUGGGGACAGUGUGGGCUGCAGGUAUCCUGGGUGCUGGACACAGCCUGAAUGCAGGUGGUCAUGGUACCCUCAGCUGUGAUGUUGAGGGUCUCCCAGCCCACCCUGGACACCAUAGGAGGCUGUGGCAGGUUGCUCAAAGUGCCCUAUGAUCCAGGCUGGACCUGACCCUGUCUCUCUGCUCUGCAUCCGGGCUCUUUCUGCCUCCCCAGGGAGGGAGCCCAUGCUUGUUGGCAGUGGUCAGCAGUAGUGGAGAGUGAGGAGCCCAUUCUGUCCCCUGUGGGUGGCCAUCGCCCUGGGGCUGUGCUCAGCAGAAAUCCCAGACUGACAGAUGAGGAUGUUCGGUCCAGGCAUCUCCCCAGGGCCGUUUGGCCCAAGCCCUCAUGAUCUGGAGAACAGGCAAGAUUUGAGCCACGGGCCUUAUGUCCUGUGGGGGCUGCUGCACUCUCCAGGGAGGCUCAGGUGGCUGGAAUUCAAGAAACCAAGGUCACUUCCAGGCCCUCUGUGUAAGUCCUGCUGUUUGUCCCACAUAGUUGGAUCACAUGACCUAUGGCUGUGAGAGAGCUGGGUUUACUGUUGACCUGGUCCAAGGAGGAGAGCACAGCCCGCCCCCGUUCUGUAGUCACACCAGCGUCUAACCCCUCUCUGUGUCCCAGAACGCUGCAGCUACCCUGGUCCUAUCAGACAGAAUUUGUGGCUGCUCUCUGCACCUGCUGAUUAUCCCUGGGCCUGUCACUCAUGGUUUGUCACGGGUGCAUCCUGCUUGUUUGGGGAAGCCUGACCAGGAGGGAGAGCUAGCUGCAGACCUGCGUGGAGCUCACGGCAGAUGUGAUUUUAGUUUACAAAACUUGAAGAGGUGGAAGCUGGUGUGGGAGGCUAAGACCUAGAGAGUGUAGGGAACAGACCUGAGGCCUGUCAACCGUCAGACCCAAGGAAGGGACCUCCUGUGGGAAGAGGGUCUUUGCAGAUGCAGUCAAGUUGAGGCAAGUCAGCCUGGAGCAGGGCUGGCGUCCUUGUAAGAGGAAAGUUGGACAGACACACAGUCAGAAGGCCCUGGAGUGGCAGGCAGAGACUGGAGUGGUGCUGCCUUUGCCGAGGGAUGCCCCUAGAUUGCUGGGAACUUCUUGGGAGCUAGAAGAGUGGGGAGGAUCCUUCCCUGGAGCCUGCAGAGGGAGCGUGGGCCUGCGGUCCCUUGAUCCUGGCAGCCCUGGAUGCCAACACGGGAGGUGCACGGGCCACACGAGUCAUGAGAAACCCGUGAGGAUUCAAGCUCAGCCUGCCGGGCUGUUGCAGGACAGGUGGCUUCUGGGUGACCCUCUGUCCUGGAGGCCAAGCUGACCCAGCCCACAAAUGAUGAGUGUGGCCUGGAAGUCGGAGGGGAGUGGCUGGGGAAGUCGGGGAGGCCGGCUUGGGCCCCGCAGGCUUCCCGGUGCUUCUUCCGAGGCUGGCGGGGCCUGUCCGGGGGCAGCAGGUGGAGUGUGAACGGAGGAAGGCUCGGCACGUUUCUGCAGUGCUCGGCACGCUGCCUCUGUCACUCCCGCAAUGCGUGGCCUGCAGAGAUGGAGCCCGUGGAGCCCCAGACAGUGCGUGUCAGGGGCUGUGGGCCUGGCUUUGGUGCAGGAGGGGUACGUGGGCUAGGUCGGGGCCCCAGCCUGCAGCAGCAGUUAGAGCAGGUCUGGGCAGUGGUCCAGUUGGUGGGCCUUUUGUUGUGUCACCUGGCAGCUGGCAGAGCCAAUGCACUUGGAUUGGGGGCGGUGGAAAAAAAUUAGUUUUAAUAAAAACUACAGAAAGUCCAGAAAUCAUGAUGCCUCAGCCCAUCCUCAGAACUUGCUCAAGGUGUUUUUGCCUGGUCUCACUGCUCCACAAACCACCCAACUGCCUGCCCGCCCAGUCUCCCUGGGCGCCAGUGCCUUUGCUCUUAAACAAAGCCCAGGUGUUCCUUGUUUUCACUGCUCACCGUGCCAAGGAUGAACACUCUCCAUACUUUUAUUUUUUUGGUUUCCUUUCUCUCCACUGGGAGCAUGGCUCAGGGAGUAAGGUGUGCAUGUAAAUGUACCCAUGUGCCCAUGUGCCCACACACCCACCAGUGCGCACACCUGCAAGGGCACCAAGGGCAGCCCUUGCAGGGCACAGCAGGAGCUGGAGGGACCUCAACAGCAGGAAAGCCAGUGUAGGGUGGCAGCUGGCCGGUGGGCAGCGCUCCCAGUUCUGGUAGUAAAAGCCCUGGACAGGGCCACCUCCUUGGCCUUGGGCUAAGGGGUUGGCCACUUACCUUAGAGUGUGAGGAGGAAGCUAAAACCCAGAAGGGGAGGGGCCUCAGGGGCGCUGGUCUUGCAGUGCCGACGAUGACGGGGUAAGGAAAGGCCCCUCCCGCAACCCAGCACUUGAGCCGUGUGUGGGACGCAGUGAGAUGACCCUGUCCUCCCCUGGAAGCUUGGCCGUGAGCGUGUACAGCAGAGGGCUUUGCCAUGUGUCACUUCAGGACCCAGAGAAGGGGGUUGUACCACAUUGCCCAUGAGGGUCCAGUGUCAGGGCAGGGCCCCUGUGCAGGGGAUGCAGAGAAGGUGGGGUGGGAAGCCAGACGGGGGCCCGGGAGAAGGAGGAGAUGGAAGGCCACAAGCAGAGGUUGGAGUGGUGUGCUUGGAAUGGGGAGAGGGGCCACGAGCCAGGGAACGUGGGUGGCCUCUGGACGCAGACAAGGGCUCGGACGUGAACUUCCUCUGCUGCCUCCAGCCCAGCCGAGCGGCACCUGGAAUUCUGAGCCCACGUCUGUAGGAGAGUCCACUGUGGGCAGCCAGCGUGGGGAUGUGGGCAGGGUGAGGGAGUCACUGGCCGCAUGGGUGUGGGCUGUCACAGAGCCCAGCACGGGGACCCCAGGCCACAGCGUGUGCCUCUCGCGGCUCUAGAGGCUGCAGCUGGAGAUGGGCCAGCGGCUCUGGCUGCGGGUGGGCCUCCUUUUCCAAGCUGCCUUCCUCCCUCUGUGUCCUCCUGGUAGCAGAGGCCGAGGCAGCUCCCUGGCACUGAUGCCAUCCCCGAGGCGAAGCCCCUCCAGGGCCUCACCUCGUGGGAGACACAUUCCGUCACAGCGGCAUCCCAGGGGACCAGCUGGGAGCCAGCACACAGAGCUCAGGGUCAGCACGGAAGGAGCUCCAGGGUCAGCAGAAAAGACAGGCUUCCAGGAGGAAAGUGAGCAGAGGUCGGAGCUUCAGAACAGGGGAGCUAAAGGGCCGCCAGGCAUUCACAGGACACCUGUCCUCCUGGGCAGCAACACAAUGCAAACUGACCAUCGCAGAGGCACGGGGGACGCGGAGCCGUGGGCCGGCUGGUAGCAGUGGUUGGUGGAAGGGCAGCACGUGGUGCCAGUCCUCACAGCCUGGCAGAGUGGAAGUCCCAUGCUAGGUGGGGAGCAAUGGGCAGAUCUGAGAGCUGAGCGACGGCGGGAGGGUGGGGGCAGUAACUAAGCAAGUGGGGUCAGCCUGGUUGUGGCAGGACGGUUGUCACUGCUGUGAAUCGUUCAUUUGGUGCUUUAAAGCAUCCCUAAUGCCAAAAAGCACUGCUGAACAAAAACUGGCAUCUGUGGUUCCAUUAGUGACCCCAGGUAAGCCUCCCUGUCCCCCGUCUUUCUGGUGCGGAGGGGAGGGGUUCCCUGUCCUUCUGGAGGUACAAGUCUGGGAUCAAGGUGUCACACGGCAGGGCUACUUCUUCUGAGGCUUCAGAAAAGGACCCUUCCCGCCUCUCCCAGGUUCCAGGGGUCACCAGCAGCUACAGUCCAGAUGUCUGUGACCCCUGCCCUCAUUCAUGCAUUGAAAUCAACCCUGGUGUGACAGUUUUAGGAGGUGAGCCUGUGGGAGGGGACCAGGUCAUGAGGGUGGAGGCUUCGUGGUGAGGAUAGUGUCCUUCUGAAGGAGGCCCCAGAGGCGGCCUCGCUCUGCACCAUGUGACCAGGAAGCAGCCUCACCAGACACUGAGCCUGUGGGCACCUGGGGUUUGGACGUCCAGCCUCCAGAACUGUGAGCCACACAUGCUGUUGUUUGUGAGCCGCACAGCGUGUGGUAUCCGAUGAGUGGCCGGUGGACGCAGGUGACCCUCAGCCUCUGAUGGUGUGUAUCUGGACUCGUCUCUGCCCCCACCUUCCACAGCCUUCUCCUGUGGACUGAAACUCCUGCCAGGCUCAUGCCCAUCUUUAAAAUAAAAUAACAUUUACUUACUCAUUAAAGGAAAAUCUUAGGAAAUUUAGACACUAGAGGAGAAGUGGGCAGUGACACUCCCUAGUGGUGUUUUAGGCCCAGCUUGACCGCAGAGCUGAGGACCUGGGCUCAGAGGGCCCAGAGCUUGGCUUAGUGACCCGACCUCAUGUGCUGGGCCGGCCAAGUCAGCGGUCCUCAGGUGGCCAGUGCUCAAGGUCAUGACUUCUGCCACUUCUUCCACUGCCACUUGCUGCUGGUAUCUGCCGGGGAGGAAGCCACGGGCCUGCCCUUGGGGAGGAGGGUGAAGCCCUGGGCGUUUCCUGGGUUCCCCUCCUGGCCUCACGGCCCUUGAGAUGGAGGGGUGACUUUGGGGGCUGCAUGGGGGCUAGGGUGUCAGGGUGCCCUUGCCUAAGACCUUCAAGGGCUCCCCAGGAUGGGGCCAUCUCCCCAUGGCAGGCAAGUCCCAGAGAGAGGACAGCCUGGAGGCCAGCGUAGGCAGUGGUUCGUGAUCAGUCUGCUUGGGUGGCCAUAACCAAGUACCCCAGCCAGGACUAAGCAGCAGACAUCCUCCAGGAGGCUGGAGACCCAGGUCAAGGUUCUCCACGCUGGUUCCUCCUGGGGCCCCUCUCUGUGGCUGGUGGUUGGCGUGCUCUACUUGUGUCCUCACAGGGCCAUCCUGUGUGCGUGUGUGUGUGUGUCCCAAUCCCCUUCCUGUGAGGACACAGUCUCAUUGGCUCAGGGCUGUCCCAAGGACCCCAUUUUACCUUUAAAGACCCUGACUCCAAGUACAGUCACAUUCUGAGGGACUAUGGGUCGACUUUCACGUAUGAAUUUUGGGGGUGGGUGGGCUGAAGCACACGGUGACCCCAGUGACUCCAGAGGCUGAGUCAGGAGGAUCAUAAGUUUGAAAGUGGCCUGGCCAACUUAGGAGGCUCUGUGUCAAAAUUUUAAAAGUGCCCGUGGGUUCACUGUGCAGGACCAAGGGAACUUUGAGGGGGACCGUGCAGGACCAAGGGAACUUUGAGGGGGACCGUGCAGCCCGUGACAAGGGGCUCCUCCCCUCAGGGCCGGGCUCUGUCCCAGGCGAGCUCCUGCAUCGUGUGUUCUCACCGUGAGGAGUUCUGCCAAAGGCGGAGGAGAGCUUCUGACCCCGGCUGCAGGGGCCUGUGGGACCUGCUGCUGCCCACUCUACCUCCCCUUGGAAGGAUUGGAGCUCCCACGGUGGACUCUGGAACACCUGCCUGAGGACCCAGGGGGACACUGGCCCCUGCGCCCUCGCCCACGGCUCGGCUCGUCGGGGGAGCAGCCCUCGCCAUCUGAGCCGUGGCUCCAUCUCUCCCUAGACAGACUGGUUCCAGUCUUACGGGUCUCCUGUGGCGGUGGGCCAGGCAGGCAGCUGGGCGGCUGGCCACACGAAGCAGCUGCCGUCCUGUACCACGGCAACCUGGAGCAGGUCCCACGCCCCACAUUUACCUGGAGUGGGUGUUCUGUGUGUCCAGUGUGCGCCCGACCUCAGGGCACCGUUUCUGUGUCGUGUCCCCAUGUGACGUGGUGGCCAGUGACAGCAAGUGAAGAGGACCCGGGCUCAGCUCUCACAGGCAAAGGGAGCUGGGCAGGGUGAGCACAGGAGCAGGGCGGGCGCUGGCCCCGGGAUGCUGGCCGGGAUGAGGCUGCUCUCGACAGAAGAGGGGAACAGGUGGCCGGGCCCUGCCUUCCCAGGGCAGCACGUGGCAGGGCCCGACUCGGAGGGUGACGCUGCAGAGGCAGAUUCGUUGGGAUUGGUCAGAUUCAGUCUUGGACAUGCGCAGCAUUUCCCGAGUCUCUGGGGGCAAAGCAUUGGAAACAGCGUCUCCCUGCUGCUGGCAGGGACCCAAGGCCAUGCAGGUGUGGUGGUCACACCAGCACUGGCGACAAGCUCCUGCAGGGCGAGAGUCCGGCUGUGACAGGCUGUGGCUGGACAGCAGCCCGGCAGCGGUGCUCUCCUGGCUGCUUUGCUGCUUGUGCCCUUGCUGCUUGUGCCCUGAUGUGCACCUUGGUCUGGGCACCUGUCCCCUUGUGCUGGCUGAAUGCCAGUGUGGGGCAGGAAGUCCACCGUGCAGGGCAGGUUGGCGCCGGCCACUCAGGAGCAGCUUGUUUAGUGGGCAGUGCUCCCUGGGAACGGGCCCUCCAGGAGCCCGUCUUCCCUGAGCCUGCCUGUCUGCACACUGGCUCCUCCUGCUGGACCUGUCCCCCCGGGGCUGGGGGCUGCCCUGACCUGUGCACCUCCUCUGCUGUACCAAGAGUUCCCUCACCUCAACUGCUGAGUGUGGCCGUGGACUCCCCUGCACGUGCUCAGCUGAUGGGGCAGGAACUGCCCCGCGUGUAAACACGUAAAGCAGAGGCCUCGGGGGAGCACUCGUGGGGAGCCCGAUGCCCCCGUGCCAGUUCCUAAGGCCACACUGUCAACCAAGAACCUGACCCUCUGCAGACUCUGCCAAGAGCUCCUCUCCCUGCCAACUUGCCGUCUGCGGGUUUUGUGUACUGGGACGUGGUAGAGGCUGAGCCCAGAGGAAGUGUGCGGCCCUGCAGGGGCAGCUCCUCGGAGCUCACGUGUGGCUUGUCUGGGAGUGCACACGCAUUGCCUGUGUGGAUGCACAUGUGCACAUGUGAUGGUGUGCAUCCUGCCCUCUGCAUCGACAGCAUCCAUAUUCUUGUAUAAAAUACAUUUGGGAGGCGCUGGGGUUGUGGCUCAGCGGUACAGUGCUCGCCUAGCACAUGCAGGGCCCUGGGUUUGAUCCUCAGCACCACAAAAAAAUGAAUGAAUGGAUAGAAUAAAGGUCUUAUGUCCAAGUACAACUGAAAAAUAAAUAUUUAAAAAAUAUUUGGGUGGCUGGGGCUGUGGCUCGGUGGUAGAGCGCUUGCCUGGCACAGGUGAGGCCCUGGGUUCAAUCCUCAGAACCACAUAAAAACAAACAAAGGUUAAAGGUUUUUUUUUUUUUUUUUUUUAGUUGUAGUUGGACACAAUACCUUUAUUUGUUUUUUUGUGGUGCUGAGGAUCGAACCCAGUGCCUCACGCUUGCUAGGCGAGUGCUCUACCACUGAGCCAUAAUGCUAGCCCCAAUGUUAAGUUUUUUAAAAGAAACUCAUUGGGGCUGGGAUAUGGCUCAAGUUGCGUGCUUGCCUGGCGUGUAUGAGGCACUGGGUUCGAUCCUCAGCACCACAAAAAAAUAAAAUAAAGAUAUUGUGUCCACCUAAAGCUAAAAAAUAAAUAUUAAAAAAAGAAACAUUUAGAAAAAACUCACAUCCGUACUGACUAUGUACGUUUUCUCUUCCUCCACAGAUGUGGCAUUCGCAAUGUGUCAGGUGUUACUAGCCGUUUAGGGGUGCCCAAAGCUCGGCUUAUGCAAGUGGCCUUUUAAGGUACCAUGGAAAGGGAAUCUUUCCUGCUGUGAUGGAGACCCCUCCCCAGCUCCCUGUGAGUGAGAGCCAGACUUGGCUCCCGAGGUGUGCACCUGCCUCCCGUGGUGCUCCCACACAGCCUGUGCCGCCUCCCCACCUUGCCCAGGCCCUGUGCCUGCCCCUCGUGGAUCAACGGCCCUCUGCUCGUGAACACAGGAAUGUGCACGGCCCCGCACUCUGGCACCGGUCUGACAUUUAAUGCAGAAUUUACACGGACGUUUGCAUUACAUCACACUGGUCAAUGGGUCUGAGAUACAUCUGUUGAAAAAGCAGUGUCCUUUGUCUCCACGUGAACACUUGGGAAGCAGCCCGGAUACACAACUCUACCAAAGAAAAAUGAACAAAAUGGUGCUUAGAAAACGUGGCCUGGAGGUGCCCGGCGCAGGGCGCGACCCUGACCCAGACAUCCUGUGGAGCUCCGCUGCCCUGGACAGUACCGCAGCUCUUCCGCUUCCUUCAGGAACAGUCUGCUGGGAAAAGGAAAGGGCUCCUGGUGAGCCGUGGGGCCUGGCGGGCAGGCGGGCAGGUCACGCGCGCAGGACCACAGGACUGUAUUAAAAGAUUGAGGUCAUGGGACGUCCUGUUGAACACACGUGGGCAAAGAAAGCACCAUCCCUCUUCUGAGCCAUGGAAGAACCCGAAGCCAUCAAAGAAGAUGGAUGCUGCAGUUGGCUGGGCACCUGGCGAGGACCAGUGCGCUGCUCAUUUAAUUGCUAAAGCCACAGUGACACGGGUGCUACCCCGGUUUAGAGGUCUGAGGUGGAGACGCUCGGCCUGUGUGCAGCGAGGCUAGGGCGUGCGGGAGUCCACGGCCUGCGGCUGUCGCUGGCCCUCUGGCAGGCCCAGCCCCAGUUCUCAGGCCCUGUGCUCCAAACGCUUUAUAAACUGAGGAGCUCUCAAGUCACCCGACAGACACGUGACUGGUGUGACCUUAUUGCGGGGUGGCUGCAUGGACCGCUUCUGCCACCAUGCGGGUUAAGUGAAUGACCAGUGUCAGCAGGUGCGGGGGAAAAUGCCUAGGCGAAAUACACAAAUGCUUUAUUUUGGAAAACUUUUAAGUACUUCAAUUUCACUUUAAAAACAUUUUUUUCUGGAUGGGCACAGGACUACUCAGAAUGCCUGUAACGCCUGUCCCCAAAACAGGCACCAUAGAAAGGGAAUCUUUCCUGCUGUGAUGGAGACCCCUCCCCAGCUCCCUGAGAGCCAGACUUGGCUCCCCGAGGUGUGCACCUGCCUCCCGUGGUGCUCCCACACAGCCUGCGCCGCCUCACCACCCUGCCCAGGCCCUGUGCCUGCCCCUCGUGGAUCAACGCCCUAUAUAUGUCCUAAUUAUGGAUCUUUUCUACUAACUGAAGUGUGCUCUCCUUUUCUCAGAGCCCAGUUCUAAUUACUAUAUUUUUAUUCAAGGAAUUAAACACGCUGUGCACCAUG